CAGUGGCUACGAGGACGACGCUGGCGGCGUGCUUAACACAUGCAAGUCGAACGGUGACGGGAGAGCUUGCUCUCCUGAUCAGUGGCGAACGGGUGAGUAACACGUGGGCAACCUGCCCCAGACUUCGGGAUAACGCUUCGAAAGAGGUGCUAAUACCGAAUACGAACCUCCCUGGCAUCUGGGAGGUUGGAAAGUUUUCGGUCUGGGAUGGGCCCGCGGCCUAUCAGCUUGUUGGUGAGGUAACGGCUCACCAAGGCGACGACGGGUAGCCGGCCUGAGAGGGCGACCGGCCACACUGGGACUGAGACACGGCCCAGACUCCUACGGGAGGCAGCAGUGGGGAAUAUUGCGCAAUGGGCGAAAGCCUGACGCAGCAACGCCGCGUGAGGGAUGACGGCCUUCGGGUUGUAAACCUCUUUCAGCAGGGAAGAAGCGAAAGUGACGGUACCUGCAGAAGAAGCACCGGCUAACUACGUG
This 477-nucleotide ribosomal RNA is filed under the name uncultured bacterium. RNAcentral's name for it is "bacterial SSU rRNA". It matches the Rfam family "Bacterial small subunit ribosomal RNA", at positions 33 to 507 of the family's 1533-position model. The record is from RNAcentral.